Molecule: ribosomal RNA, 526 nt
Filed under: uncultured bacterium
Lineage: Bacteria
Description: bacterial SSU rRNA
Rfam family: Bacterial small subunit ribosomal RNA
Source: RNAcentral
AGAGUUUGAUCCUGGCUCAGGAUGAACGCUAGCUACAGGCUUAACACAUGCAAGUCGAGGGGCAGCAUGAGAUUAGCUUGCUAAUCUUGAUGGCGACCGGCGCACGGGUGAGUAACGCGUAUCCAACCUUCCCCCUACUCAGGCAUAGCCCGGUGAAAACCGGAUUAACUCCUGAUAGUUUCACUAGAUGGCAUCUGACGGUGAAUAAAGCUCAGCGGUAAGGGAUGGGGAUGCGUCUGAUUAGCUUGUUGGCGGGGUAACGGCCCACCAAGGCGACGAUCAGUAGGGGUUCUGAGAGGAAGGUCACCCACAUUGGAACUGAGACACGGUCCAAACUCCUACGGGAGGCAGCAGCGAGGAAUAUUGGUCAAUGGAGGCAACUCUGAACCAGCCAAGUAGCGUGCAGGACGACGGCCCUAUGGGUUGUAAACUGCUUUUAUAAGGGGAUAAAGGAUGCCACGUGUGGUGUUUUGCAUGUACCUUAUGAAUAAGGACCGGCUAAUUCCGUGCCAGCAGCCGCGGUAAU